This 212-nucleotide long non-coding RNA is filed under the name Gossypium raimondii (Peruvian cotton). RNAcentral describes it as "long non-coding RNA (GRAI_LNC001329)". The record is from RNAcentral. Lineage: Eukaryota; Viridiplantae; Streptophyta; Magnoliopsida; Malvales; Malvaceae.
CUAUACAUGCCACUAUAACCAAAAUUAAACAACCGAAAGUACCAAAAGAGCCGAUGGAUAGUGUGAUAUAGCUCCGACAAGCUUCCAACAGGAACGAGCUUCUGAUUCACUAUAAAACACAGAAAAUAACAUAGAGUAAACAUUUAAGCUUAGUAAGUUCGUAUAACUUCAAACAUAACUCACCAUUUAAUCACAAAAUAGAUAAGAUAAAC